GCAGAAAAAUAAUUUGGCACAGCGUCCGGUAACCCUCUAGGCCCUGGAGGGGAUCAGGACGGCAGUGAGGAACCGUGGGGCUGAGUGGCUCCGGGCUUGGCUGGGAUCGGUGUUGGCGACGGAGGAGCAAGAUGGCGGCGGUGGUCAAUCUGCAAAGGCCAGGAGGCCCCCACGUCGGUUGAGCCCAGGCUCCUAUGGUGGAGGAAGUGGUGUUCACGAGGUGGUUGGAGCGGGCAGUGAUCCGGGCUGCAGGCGCUGCGGCGGCGUGGCUGAGGCCCCGCCUCCCAGUGCACCGCUGGAGCCUCAGAGGGGCUCCUUGCGACAGGCAGCUGCCCAGGACACUGACAACGCAGCCCCUGUGCCCCUGUGGGCCCCUUGGAAUGCCACGUGGGACUGGCCACCGGCUGGGAGGGCAGCCCCUAGCGUGGAUGUUGAGAACAGCGUCAACGCCGGCUCCAGGGCCACAUGGAGCUGGCCCUUUACAGGACAGACAAGUGCAGGGGGUCUUUCUGGGGGCCCCUUAGGUGGGAAUGGUGGUACUGGGGGCGACCUGGGUCUCGC
Pelobates cultripes (western spadefoot toad) is the source of this 561-nucleotide non-coding RNA. Lineage: Eukaryota; Metazoa; Chordata; Amphibia; Anura; Pelobatidae. The record is from the annotation of a GenBank genome assembly.